UACGUAGGGAGCAAGCGUUGUCCGGAAUCAUUGGGCGUAAAGCGCGCGUAGGUGGCCCAGUAAGUCCGUUCUGAAAGUCACAGGCUCAACCUGUGAAAGCGGAUGGAUACUGCUGGGCUAGAGUCCGGAAGAGGCGAGUGGAAUUCCUGGUGUAGCGGUGGAAUGCGCAGAUAUCAGGAGGAACACCAACGGCGAAGGCAGCUCGCUGGGACGUGACUGACGCUGAGACGCGAAAGCGUGGGGAGCAAACAGG
This 253-nucleotide ribosomal RNA is filed under the name uncultured bacterium. RNAcentral describes it as "partial 16S ribosomal RNA". It matches the Rfam family "Bacterial small subunit ribosomal RNA", at positions 524 to 776 of the family's 1533-position model. The record is from RNAcentral.